This 253-nucleotide ribosomal RNA is filed under the name uncultured bacterium. Its description in RNAcentral is "partial 16S ribosomal RNA". It matches the Rfam family "Bacterial small subunit ribosomal RNA", at positions 524 to 776 of the family's 1533-position model. The record is from RNAcentral.
UACGGGGGGGGCAAGCGUUGUUCGGAAUUACUGGGCGUAAAGGGCUCGUAGGCGGCCAACUAAGUCAGACGUGAAAUCCCUCAGCUUAACUGGGGAACUGCGUCUGAUACUGGAUGGCUUGGAUUCGGGAGAGGGAUGCAGAAUUCCAGGUGUAGCGGUGAAAUGCGUAGAUAUCUGGAGGAAUACCGGUGGCGAAGGCGGCAUCCUGGACCGAGAUUGACACUGAUGAGCGAAAGCUAGGGGAGCAAACGGG